This 70-nucleotide transfer RNA is filed under the name Escherichia coli. Its description in RNAcentral is "tRNA-Thr". It matches the Rfam family "tRNA". From Rfam's summary of the family: Transfer RNA (tRNA) molecules are approximately 80 nucleotides in length. Lineage: Bacteria; Pseudomonadati; Pseudomonadota; Gammaproteobacteria; Enterobacterales; Enterobacteriaceae. The record is from RNAcentral.
AUGGCUCAGUUGGUAGAGCGUACCCUUGGUAAGGGUGAGGUCCCCAGUUCGACUCUGGGUAUCAGCACCA